UCAGCUAAUCCCUUGUACAAGUAUACUAUUCCUGGACUAGUUUACAGAUUUGGUAUACAACAUACAAAUAUGUAUCUGCCUACAUAUGUAAACUCUCAUAAUCUGUUCAAGAGGUCAACGAAGGUGUCUUCCUUGCAUGGAAUUAUGUGUCCACCUUCUGGAUGACUAAAUCCAAAUUCUUCCUCAGCUUGACUUCGCAGGUCUUGAAAUGUAGGCUUAUUUACAAAUCUUCUUCUUUGGUUCUUUGGAUAUAAGAGAGUUAGUAACAUAAUACAUAUUGAGAUGAACAGCAUACAGAUAAUGGCUAGAAACUCUCAAGUUAGACAGGCAACGCAGGAAAUUUCGUGCUUUUAGUUUAGUGCUCAUCUGAUGUUUUUUCCUUCAAAACGGUUUCUUUUGUUGAAUUCAUGUAUCAUGUAGUAUUUGGCAGGAGGAGUUCAACUAAUGGGGGAGGUUUCUAAGACUUCCCUCGCAAGGUUUUGUAAAGCUAUUGUCUUAGGUUUAUUCAUUUAUUUUCGUCAUAUUUUCUGCAUUUGUAGAGCUAUUCACUUCGAGAAACUAUUGCAUUAGUUUAAUGGUUGUUGAAUGUGUACAUUAGAUUUUUCUUUACAAUUCAGCAUACUCAUUGCAGAAUGUGGAAGUCUAAUAAUUUCUUGUUGAACUUGUAUGUUCAUAGCUCAUAGUUUUGACAGGUGUUAUGUUAUGAACUUGUUGUAUCUCGACAUCCAAAAUAUUUGCAAAAGUUGGAAAAAAAUGAAAAAGGAAAUUUGGAAAUUUAAACUAUGAUAUUUAUGUAUAGUUGAGUGAGAGAAAUCAUAUACCUCACAACUACUGUACUAUGCAGAAUCAUUAAACUUAAAAUAUAUCCCUUCAAUAUCCCUUCAAUAAUUUGAUGUUAGCUAGCACCAAUGUUAGCUUCGUCAUCAUCAAAGUGUUCUUCUAAAAACUUUGCUUGUUUAAUUUUGGAAGGAUGCAAACAAAUUGGAUCUAUAUGGACUGUGUCUAUUCUCAGGAUCUAAUAGUAUUAUCCGCUCAUUUCAGGAUGAGGCUAAAGAGCCCCCAUGCCCCUUGUUGGCUCUUGCAUUAAUCAAUGCUCAGUUGUCACCAUUAUUCCAUUGAACAUUAUCUUCAAAUUUUGUGAAACGCGUUAGAACUAGGGAGCCAACUUGGCCAACAUGGAUGCAUAAUGCAUGCAUCUGAUAUCAGUCCCUGCAUAAAUAUGAACACUUUUAUUUUUUACAUAAAGAAAAAACAUAUUCUCCUGCUACUUGCCUCUUCCUCUGUUUCGUUGAAAAAUAAGCACUUGUAGUUGGUACUUGGGUGCAAAAUUCAACUUUAUUCCAAAGAAUUGUAUUGAUUUGUAUUGUGACUUUGUGCGAUGCCUAUAUAGUUGACUUCCCUCGUCAACUUCUUUGGAAGGUAAUUAAAUUUUUCUUUUGCUAAGAAACUACUUGGAAGGCACCUAAUUUCACUUCCAAGUUCCUAUCAUUUUAUAUUAAUCUGCCAAUUUUGUGUUAGAAAUACAUCUUCUCAAUAAUGUCUAAAGUAUAGAUUAACUAACAAUGUUUUAAUUAGUUGCAGGUUUCUAUCCCUCAUACUAAUUUAAUUCACCUAGUCUAAAGUAUAGAAUGCCUCGUUUUGUCAUGCCUUCUUGAGUUUCAGAGGGGAAACCCGCAACAAGUUCACAUGCCUCUUGUACGAGGGACUGAAAACCGUAGGAUUUACAGCUUUCAUGGACAGAACUGCCAUACGUGUUGGAGAUGAAGUAGAUUCAACAAUCAAAGAAGGGAUCAGAAACUCUAUGAGCGCCAUAAUUCAACAAUCAAAGAAGGGAUCAGAAACUCUAUGAGCGCCAUAAUUAUAUUCUCCCAAAAUUAUGCCUAUUCUACUUGGUGUCUUGAUGAACUUGUUCUUAUCCUUGAACGCAAAACGAACUCAAGGUAUUUAAUUAUACCAAUUUUUUAUGAGGUCGAAAUUCGAGAUAUUAAACACCAGCUUGGAAAUUAUGGCCUUGCGCUUGAAAAGCAUAGGGCUAGGCACAAUGACAAGGUAGACAAGUGGAAAGAAGCUCUUGCAGAAGUUGGUAAUAUUUUUGGACAGCAUGUAGAAGGGCUGCAGAGCACCUUUAUCCAAAACAUUGUAAAAUUGUUUUGUGUGGAAUUGGCUGCCAAGUUCCCAGAUUAAAGUCACCUUCCUACACUAGAAGGUCCAAGUUCACAAGGCAGUUCUUCAUCGUCAAUGUUGAGACCUAAGCCAUCCAACAACAAGGUGAUUCUUUACAUGAUUAGUGUUAAUAAUGGCCUAGGUUCAAAUGGGUUGGUAAAGAAACUUCUGAUGAGUGGGAAUGCUGUAUUUGAGGAGAGGAAUUGUUCAACAGAAUCAGAGUAUAUGAGAGAGCUAGAAGAGCUGGUCGGUAAUGACAGGGUAAGGUUCCCUAUGGUGAUUGUGAAUGGGAAGGACUUGUGCGGAGCAGAAGAGGUGGAGGGUUUAGAUGAUUUCGAGAACAAGCAAAAGCUUAUAUCAGUACUGAAUCAUCUCUAUGUUUCUGCAAAAACAAUAGAAAAUCUUCAUGGCAUGUUUAGUAGGAGUUUAAUAUUUGAAAGUAGUAUUCAGGACCAGUGGAUCAAUCGGAGAUACUCUUAGUGGUUGUGCUACUUCUUUUCCUAUUUCUUUACCAUGUUUCUUUUAAUAUAAAUGUAUCUAGCUCUCAUUCUUUGA
Molecule: long non-coding RNA, 2718 nt
Organism: Daucus carota subsp. sativus
Lineage: Eukaryota; Viridiplantae; Streptophyta; Magnoliopsida; Apiales; Apiaceae
Exons: 2
Source: RefSeq, a predicted model, not a curated record